GAUCAUGGCUCAGGAUGAACGCUGGCGGCGUGCCUAACACAUGCAAGUCGAACGGAGCUGAUUUGAUGAGAUCUUCGGAUGGAUUUAAAACAGCUUAGUGGCGGACGGGUGAGUAACGCGUGGGUAACCUGCCUCACACUGGGGGAUAACAGUUAGAAAUAGCUGCUAAUACCGCAUAAGCGCACGGUUCCUCAUGGAACAGUGUGAAAAACUCCGGUGGUGUGAGAUGGACCCG
Molecule: ribosomal RNA, 235 nt
Filed under: uncultured bacterium
Lineage: Bacteria
Description: partial 16S ribosomal RNA
Rfam family: Bacterial small subunit ribosomal RNA
Source: RNAcentral